Molecule: ribosomal RNA, 664 nt
Filed under: uncultured bacterium
Lineage: Bacteria
Description: partial 16S ribosomal RNA
Rfam family: Bacterial small subunit ribosomal RNA
Source: RNAcentral
GCUGGCGGCGUGGAUUAGGCAUGCAAGUCGAACGGUUCUUCUUUUUUUUUCAGAAGAAUAGUGGCGAAGGGGUGAGUAACACGUGAGUAACCUGCCCUAGAGCUCGGGAUAACUCGCCGAAAGGCAAGCUAAUACCGGAUACUUCUUAUGUUUCUUAUGAAAUAUAAGCGAAGGGCGGGCACCCCUUCGGGGGCCUGUCUCUCUUGGAUGGGCUCGCGGCCUAUCAGCUAGUUGGUGAGGUAAUGGCUCACCAAGGCUAAGACGGGUAGCUGGUCAAAAAAGAUGGUCACCCACGCUGGGACUGACACACUGCCCACACUCCUACGGGAGGCUGCAGUCAAUAAUCUUUCGCAAUGGGGGAAACCCUGACAAACCCACCCCGCGUGCAAGAUUAAGGCCUUCGGGUUGUAAACUGCUGUCGGCUAGAAAAAAAUCUUUUUAGUGAACAACUAAAAAGUUUGACCGUACCAGCAAAGGAAGCCACGGCUAACUCUGUGCCAGCAGCCGCGGUAAUACAGAGGUGGCAAGCGUUGUUCUUAUUUAUUGGGCGUAAAGGGUUCGUACGCGGCUCAGAAAGUUGGGUGUGAAAUCCCACGGCUUAACCGUGGAACUGCACUCAAAACUCCUGAGCUAGAGGGCGAGAGGGGUAGAGGGUACUUCCCGG